UUGAGGUCAGCUACUUGGUCAGAGUUACUGUAGAUAUUGAGGUCAGCUACUUGGCUAGAGUUACUGUAGAUAUUGAGGUCAGCUACUUGGCUAGAGUUACUGUAGAUAUUG
This is a long non-coding RNA of Salvelinus fontinalis (brook trout), 111 nucleotides long. RefSeq lists it as uncharacterized. The record is from RefSeq and is a predicted model, not a curated record. NCBI's taxonomy places the organism in Eukaryota, Metazoa, Chordata, Actinopteri, Salmoniformes, Salmonidae. The transcript has 3 exons.